Molecule: ribosomal RNA, 818 nt
Filed under: uncultured Bacteroidota bacterium
Lineage: Bacteria; Pseudomonadati; Bacteroidota
Description: bacterial SSU rRNA
Rfam family: Bacterial small subunit ribosomal RNA
Source: RNAcentral
AACGCUAGCUACAGGCUUAACACAUGCAAGUCGAGGGGAAACGGCAUUGAGUGCUUGCACUCUUUGGACGUCGACCGGCGCACGGGUGAGUAACGCGUAUCCAACCUUCCCAUUACUGUGGGAUAACCUGCCGAAAGGCAGACUAAUACCGCAUAGUCUUCGAUGACGGCAUCAGAUUUGAAGUAAAGAUUUAUCGGUAAUGGAUGGGGAUGCGUCUGAUUAGCUUGUUGGCGGGGUAACGGCCCACCAAGGCUACGAUCAGUAGGGGUUCUGAGAGGAAGGUCCCCCACAUUGGAACUGAGACACGGUCCAAACUCCUACGGGAGGCAGCAGUGAGGAAUAUUGGUCAAUGGACGGAAGUCUGAACCAGCCAAGUAGCGUGCAGGAUGACGGCCCUAUGGGUUGUAAACUGCUUUUGUAUGGGGAUAAAGUUAGGGACGUGUCCCUAUUUGCAGGUACCAUACGAAUAAGGACCGGCUAAUUCCGUGCCAGCAGCCGCGGUAAUACGGAAGGUCCAGGCGUUAUCCGGAUUUAUUGGGUUUAAAGGGAGCGUAGGCUGGAGAUUAAGUGUGUUGUGAAAUGUAGACGCUCAACGUCUGACUUGCAGCGCAUACUGGUUUCCUUGAGUACGCACAACGUUGGCGGAAUUCGUCGUGUAGCGGUGAAAUGCUUAGAUAUGACGAAGAACUCCGAUUGCGAAGGCAGCUGACGGGAGCGCAACUGACGCUUAAGCUCGAAGGUGCGGCUAUCAAACAGGAUUAGAUACCCUGGUAGUCCGCACAGUAAACGAUGGAUGCCCGCUGUUGGUACCUGGUAUC